This 163-nucleotide small nuclear RNA is filed under the name Ostreococcus lucimarinus CCE9901. RNAcentral describes it as "snRNA U1". It matches the Rfam family "U1 spliceosomal RNA". From Rfam's summary of the family: U1 is a small nuclear RNA (snRNA) component of the spliceosome (involved in pre-mRNA splicing). Its 5' end forms complementary base pairs with the 5' splice junction, thus defining the 5' donor site of an intron. Lineage: Eukaryota; Viridiplantae; Chlorophyta; Mamiellophyceae; Mamiellales; Bathycoccaceae. The record is from Rfam by way of RNAcentral.
AUACUUACCUGCGCCGAACUCUAUCUGAUCAUGAAGGGGUAGAGUUGCGCGAAUCCGUGGCGCCUUGCACUUCGCGCACACGUAUUCGCGUCGUUCGUCGCCUAACGGGGCGAACGGGGCGACAAUUUAUUCCAGGGUGAGACCGGCGUUCGCGCUACUCGCC